RNAcentral lists this ribosomal RNA (400 nucleotides) under uncultured Desulfobulbus sp. RNAcentral describes it as "bacterial SSU rRNA". It matches the Rfam family "Bacterial small subunit ribosomal RNA", at positions 984 to 1382 of the family's 1533-position model. Lineage: Bacteria; Pseudomonadati; Thermodesulfobacteriota; Desulfobulbia; Desulfobulbales; Desulfobulbaceae. The record is from RNAcentral.
ACAUGCAGAGAACUUUCCAGAGAUGGAUUGGUGCCUUCGGGAACUCUGACACAGGUGCUGCAUGGCUGUCGUCAGCUCGUGUCGUGAGAUGUUGGGUUAAGUCCCGUAACGAGCGCAACCCUUGUCCUUAGUUACCAGCACGUUAUGGUGGGCACUCUAAGGAGACUGCCGGUGUUAAACCGGAGGAAGGUGGGGGAUGACGUCAAGUCCUCAUGGCCUUUAUGACCAGGGCUACACACGUACUACAAUGGCCGAUACAAAGGGCAGCGACACUGCGAGGUGAAGCCAAUCCCGUAAAAUCGGUCUCAGUCCGGAUUGGAGUCUGCAACUCGACUCCAUGAAGUUGGAAUCGCUAGUAAUCGUGGAUCAGCAUGCCACGGUGAAUACGUUCCCGGGCCUU